AUACUAACCAAGCAUGUUAUAUCAGAUGACCCAGCUAGCUCGGUUGAUACAUCAAUCUCGCAUAAUGAAUCAACAUAUCCUCCUAAAGCUACGGGAGCGUCUGAUGUAAUUGCAGAUAAAAAUAUAAAAGAAAAUACGCAAGUAACAGAAGAAGAACGCAAACGAGACCGUAAAAAAGCUUUGAGGAGAGCUGCAUAUCGGCAGAGAAAAGAUCGGAAUCUCCAAGAUGAACAUGCACAGGCCCUUAUUUUAUCUGCCAACCCAACUAGCUCCAACUAUACAUCAUUC
This is a non-coding RNA of Aegilops tauschii subsp. strangulata, 288 nucleotides long. Lineage: Eukaryota; Viridiplantae; Streptophyta; Magnoliopsida; Poales; Poaceae. The record is from RefSeq and is a predicted model, not a curated record.